GUAAAAAGUCUAAUUUGGCUUUAAAAUUAGAAAGAUCAUAUCAUAAGCAACAAGCGUACUAAGUUUCAAGUUGAUUGGACUUAAGCUUCAUCAAAAACUACCUUGACCAAAAACUUUAACCUGAACGGACGGACGCACGAACGGAGCCACAGACCAGAAAACAUAAUGCCCCUCUACUAUCGUAAGUGGGGCAUAAUAUUAUUGCAGGUAACCGCACUUAUGAGAUUUGUUCUUGAUAUAAUUACAGCUAUCAUACUUCGGGGGACUUCAUUGGAAAACGAUUUUGACGAUUGGUGUUUUUCUUUUCGUCUUCUUUUUAUUUUACCAUUGUUUUGACUUUUUCUCCGACAUGUAGUCUUUUACGUACCCAUGAUAACUUCUUUCUUCGUUUUUUUUUGUGGUUUUUUAGUCGUUAGGAUGCUGUAGCAUUAGCCCAUAUGUUCUUUUAUUUAUUCGGUCAUGCUUAUAAUUAUAAUUCUGUUUCUGUUUUUGAAAUCUUUUAUCAGAAGAUAUUAACAUACAUUGAUUAGUUCGAGUAAUUACAAACUUAAAGGCUGGUUAUCAUAUUAGAAGAGAAAUAGUUACUGUACUUCGCAUGUCCAGCGGCAAACUCAUGCAGAUGAUGCAUACUUUUGACAGUGUAAUUAUGAUAAUUACAUAUAGAACCAUGUGCGAAUGGAAUGGGAAAGUUACAUUGGAUUCUCGUAUAGGAAAACUGACGUUAUUUUUAAUAGAAUAGGAUGUGAUAAUAUAGGCAAUAAUACAACUAGAGACCAAAUCACAUAGAUGUA
This 791-nucleotide long non-coding RNA is filed under the name Mytilus galloprovincialis (Mediterranean mussel). Lineage: Eukaryota; Metazoa; Mollusca; Bivalvia; Mytilida; Mytilidae. The record is from RNAcentral.